Molecule: long non-coding RNA, 610 nt
Organism: Myiozetetes cayanensis
Lineage: Eukaryota; Metazoa; Chordata; Aves; Passeriformes; Tyrannidae
Exons: 3
Source: RefSeq, a predicted model, not a curated record
CCUGCCUGGAUGUUCUGCAUGCCCGGGCUCCAUUAUCACUGCUGCCUAAUGUGAUUUAGCCCUGUCUGUGGACUGCACUCUUUAAAUCUGAGAAUGUGACAGUGUCGCGGUUGGAUGCAGAUUAGGAUACAAAAUGAUAUUGAAAAGUUUUCUUUAUGUGAUCACCAUCUUCUGGUGAAGAAAAAUUCAAGACUGGCUUUAUGAACUAAACAAGAGAGAUGAGCGGUCCCCCAGUCUGGCCUAACUCAGUGCUGUUACAGGGGCUACAAGAAGACAGAAAAAGAAUGUUUGACCAAGCAUAUAAUGAGUCAUGGGUUUAAUUUAGUUCCACUAGAAUCUCAAUGUGACCUUGAAACCUUCUAACACAAUAAAUCAGAGCAGAGGAUAUCAGCAGAAGGUGUCAGUGGAUGCUAACUCCGGUCGGCUCUGCUCCGCAGGGCACCCUGCCUGGGACAAGCCCAUUAAAGAGCCGUCUCGGCGUGGAGUCCUCUCUCCAAGAAAGCCGCCCGUGGGGCUCUGUCACCCAGCCCGCAGCCCGUUCGAAGGACCGGAGCGCGGCCCCUCCGCCCGGGCGCGGGUGCCGCUGCCCGCAGGUGGUUCCCGCAGGAGG